Molecule: ribosomal RNA, 119 nt
Filed under: Pteropus alecto (black flying fox)
Lineage: Eukaryota; Metazoa; Chordata; Mammalia; Chiroptera; Pteropodidae
Source: RNAcentral
GCCUACGGCCAUGCCACCCUGAACAAGCUUGAUCUCGUCUGAUCUCAGAAGCUAAGCAGAGUUGGGCCUGGUUAGUACUUGGAUAGGAGACCACCUAGGAAGACCAGGUGCUGUAGGCA